AGCUUCAGUAGCGUAUAUUAAAGUUGUUGCAGUUAAAAAGCUCGUAGUCGCAUUUCUGGCGAGAGGAUCCGGUCCGACCUUUUGGUGGGUUCUUGGUUCUCUUUCGCCAUCCUUGAGUGGUCCGUUCUGGCAUUAGUUUGUCGGAGCGUCAGCCGCUCAUCGUUUACUGUGAGAAAAUUAGAGUGUUCAAAGCAGGCUUAUGCCGUUGAAUAUAUUAGCAUGGAAUAAUAAGAUAGGACCUAGGUAAUAUUUUGUUGGUUUGAGAACCAAGGUAAUGAUGAACAGGGACAGUUGGGGGUAUUUGUAUUUCGUUGUCAGAGGUGAAAUUCUUAGAUUUACGAAAGACAAACUACUGCGAAAGCAUUUACCAAGGAUGUUUUCA
This 382-nucleotide ribosomal RNA is filed under the name uncultured marine Chaetocerotaceae. RNAcentral describes it as "SSU rRNA". It matches the Rfam family "Eukaryotic small subunit ribosomal RNA", at positions 587 to 972 of the family's 1831-position model. The record is from RNAcentral. Lineage: Eukaryota; Bacillariophyta; Thalassiosirophyceae; Chaetocerotales; Chaetocerotaceae.